GACGAACGCUGGCGGCGUGCUUAACACAUGCAAGUCGAACGGAAAGGCCCCCACUUUUUUGGUGGGGGUGCUCGAGUGGCGAACGGGUGAGUAACACGUGGGUGAUCUGCCCUGUACUUCGGGAUAAGCUUGGGAAACUGGGUCUAAUACCGGAUAGGACCAUGGUUUAGUGUCUCAUGGUGGAAAAAUUAUUGUUUUGGUGCAGGAUGAGCUCGCGGCCUAUCAGCUUGUUGGUGGGGUAAUGGCCUACCAAGGCGUCGACGGGUAGCCGGCCUGAGAGGGUGGACGGCCACAUUGGGACUGAGAUACGGCCCAGACUCCUACGGGAGGCAGCAGUGGGGAAUAUUGCACAAUGGGCGCAAGCCUGAUGCAGCGACGCCGCGUGGGGGAUGACGGCCUUCGGGUGGGAAACUCCUUUCGUUAGGGACGAAGCCGCACCUUUUUUGGGUGUGGUGACGGUACCUUUGUGAAGAAGCACCGGCUAACUACGUG
RNAcentral lists this ribosomal RNA (492 nucleotides) under uncultured bacterium. Its description in RNAcentral is "partial 16S ribosomal RNA". It matches the Rfam family "Bacterial small subunit ribosomal RNA", at positions 28 to 507 of the family's 1533-position model. The record is from RNAcentral.